UGUGACAUCACACAGGUUCCUCUGAUGCAGCAGCACAGUGGAGAAGCCAUGGAGGAACACAGUAGCACAAGAAAGCCUACCUAUGAGGAAGACAGUGGAAGGAGAAAGUUUACUGCUGAGGAAGACAGUGGAAGGAGAAAGGAGGAAGGCAGUGCAAGGAGAAAGUUUACUGCUGAGGAAGACAGUGCAAGGAGAAAGGCUACUGCUAUGUCCAAACAGGAGAUGGUGUACAUGGUGUCCAUCCUGGAAAAAAAAGAUUAUGACUGCAAAGAGGCAGAGUAUUCAAGGCCGAAUACAAGGAAAAAUAAUAUCUUGGACAUAGUCAUCCAAGGGCUUCACAAGAAGUUUGGAGUAACCAGAUCAAAAGACCAGCUUCGUAAAAGAUGGUCAGAUUUGAAGUUGAGAGAGCGAGAACAACUUCUAAGCAUUAGAAGGAUAAUUAAAAAAAAAACAAAAGCGUAAAAAGUUGCUUUGGACCAGAAAAUGUUCUAGAGGAAGUGCCUCUUCUUCUGUGGGCAAGCCUGAUCCACCAGAGUCAGAGGAUUGUGAGAAGGAUGACAGGGAGGAGAAUAAUGACUCGGAUGACACUGUGACCAUUGAUCCACUUGAGCAGUCCAAAACCUAUGCAACCUCUGAUGCAACAGAAAACCCAGUGGAAGAGUUGAGUGACACAUCUCCUAGCAGCCCAUGCAUUCUAUUAACCAGUACAGAAGAAUACAUUGCACCACAAAAACUACUGUAUCUUUAUACAGAGGGACAGCCAGAUGUUCAAAUUUCAGAAGAGUUUUCCAUUGCAGCAGCAACCAAGGACUCUGAUC
Xenopus laevis (African clawed frog) is the source of this 818-nucleotide long non-coding RNA. RefSeq lists it as uncharacterized. The transcript has 3 exons. NCBI's taxonomy places the organism in Eukaryota, Metazoa, Chordata, Amphibia, Anura, Pipidae. The record is from RefSeq and is a predicted model, not a curated record.